CCAGCUCCAAUAGCGUAUAUUAAAGUUGUUGCAGUUAAAAAGCUCGUAGUUGGAUUUCUGGUUUGAGCGUCCGGUCGACCUUGUGUCUGUACUAUGGAUGUUUGGGCCAUAUUUUGUGAGGAUGCCUUUCUGCCAUUGAGUUGGUGGUUGGGUGGACUUGCAUCGUUUACUGUGAAAAAACUAGAGUGUUUAAAGCAGGCGUUUGCUCAUUUGAAUACAUUAGCAUGGAAUAAUAAGAUACGACCUUGGUGGUCUAUUUUGUUGGUUUGCACGCCAGGGUAAUGAUUAAUAGGGACAGUUGGGGGUAUUCAUAUUUCAACGUCAGAGGUGAAAUUCUUGGAUCGUUGAAAGAUGAGCUUAGGCGAAAGCAUUUACCAAGGAUGUUUUCAUUAAUCAAGAACGAAAGUCAGGGGAUCGAAGAUGAUUAGAUACCAUCGUAGUCUUGACCAUAAACUAUGCCGACUCGGGAUUGGCAGUCGUUUAAUUAGAAUGACCUUGUCAGCACCGUAUGAGAAAUCAAAGUCUUUGGGUUCCGGGGGGAGUAUGGUCGCAAGGCUGAAACUUAAAGGAAUUGACGGAAGGGCACCACCAGGAGUGGAGCCUGCGGCUUAAUUCGACUCAAC
RNAcentral lists this ribosomal RNA (623 nucleotides) under uncultured eukaryote. Its description in RNAcentral is "SSU rRNA". It matches the Rfam family "Eukaryotic small subunit ribosomal RNA", at positions 585 to 1204 of the family's 1831-position model. The record is from RNAcentral.